Pseudophryne corroboree (corroboree frog) is the source of this 511-nucleotide long non-coding RNA. RefSeq lists it as uncharacterized. The transcript has 2 exons. The record is from RefSeq and is a predicted model, not a curated record. NCBI's taxonomy places the organism in Eukaryota, Metazoa, Chordata, Amphibia, Anura, Myobatrachidae.
UGUGCGCAUGCACCAAUGGCCAGGGGGAGCGCUGCGGGGCCAGCAGAGCAUGGUGCAGUGGAGUCUCCGGCCCCCGGACUGCCAUCUCUGUGAGAAGCCGGUGACAAGCAGGAGCAGCAGAGCUAGCAGAGCUUGGUGCAGCGGAGUCUCCGGCCCCCGGGCUGGCUGCGCUGUGAGCAGCCGGUGACACGCUGGAGUAAUGGGAUCUCGGAUCUCGGAUUUCUCCAGGCACUCCCGGGAGAAGCUGCUGCAGCAGAGGGGGAAGAUGUUCACUAAGCUGACGCCCAUCCUGCAGCAGGCGGUAGAGACGGACUGUGCUGGAGGUGUUCGUUUGGAGUGGAAACUACUAUACCUAUCCUUUUGUAACCAUCAAGCAUAAAAUAUACAGCAAUUAUCAUCUGAAAGUAUUGCGCUGGAGGAAGUUGGCGAAGUAGAGCUUGUGACCAUUACGCUUACUGUGCUGGAGGAUAUGGAGGAGUAUAAAUAAAGUUUUCCUGUUCUUGCAUUAUGA